GAUGAACGCUGGCGGCGUGCCUAAUACAUGCAAGUCGAGCGAACGGACGAGAAGAUUGCUUCUCUGCUGUUAGCGGCGGACGGGUGAGUAACACGUGGAUAACCUACCUCUAAGACUGGGAUAACUUCGGGAAACCGGAGCUAAUAACGGCUGAUAUUUUGAACCGCAUGGUUCAAAAGUGAAAGACGGUUUUGCUGUCACUUAUAGAUGGAUCCGCGCUGCAUUAGCUAGUUGGUAAGGUAACGGCUUACAAAGGCAACGAUGCAUAGCCGACCUGAGAGGGUGAUCGGCCACACUGGAACUGAGACACGGUCCAGACUCCUACGGGAGGCAGCAGUAGGGAAUCUUCCGCAAAGGGCGAAAGCCUGACGGAGCAACGCCGCGUGAGUGAUGAAGGUCUUCGGAUCGUAAAACUCUGUUAUUAGGGAAGAACAUAUGUGUAAGUAACUGUGCACGUCUUGACGGUACCUAAUCAGAAAGCCACGGCUAACUACGUG
RNAcentral lists this ribosomal RNA (497 nucleotides) under uncultured bacterium. RNAcentral's name for it is "partial 16S ribosomal RNA". It matches the Rfam family "Bacterial small subunit ribosomal RNA", at positions 28 to 507 of the family's 1533-position model. The record is from RNAcentral.